AACGAACGCUGGCGGUGUGCUUAACACAUGCAAGUCGAACGAGAACGUUUCCUUCGGGGAACUAGUAAAGUGGCGCACGGGUGAGUAACACGUGAAUAAUCUGCCCUCGAGAUCGGGAUAACCUGGCGAAAGCUAGGCUAAUACCGGAUAAGACCACGUUUCAAAAGAUAUGCGGAAAAAGGAGUCUCAACCUUCGCUCGAGGAUGAGUUCGCGGACCAUUAGCUUGUUGGUGAGAUAAAAGCUCACCAAGGCUGCGAUGGAUAGCCGGCCUGAGAGGGUGACCGGCCACACUGGAACUGAGACACGGUCCAGACUCCUACGGGAGGCAGCAGUGGGGAAUAUUGCGCAAUGGGCGGAAGCCUGACGCAGCAACACCGUGUGAGCGAUG
RNAcentral lists this ribosomal RNA (389 nucleotides) under uncultured Nitrospina sp. RNAcentral describes it as "bacterial SSU rRNA". It matches the Rfam family "Bacterial small subunit ribosomal RNA", at positions 29 to 410 of the family's 1533-position model. The record is from RNAcentral. Lineage: Bacteria; Pseudomonadati; Nitrospinota; Nitrospinia; Nitrospinales; Nitrospinaceae.